UUUGAUCAUGAACCGUAAAAU
RNAcentral lists this non-coding RNA (21 nucleotides) under Caenorhabditis elegans. Lineage: Eukaryota; Metazoa; Nematoda; Chromadorea; Rhabditida; Rhabditidae. The record is from RNAcentral.